RNAcentral lists this ribosomal RNA (457 nucleotides) under uncultured bacterium. RNAcentral's name for it is "bacterial SSU rRNA". It matches the Rfam family "Bacterial small subunit ribosomal RNA", at positions 340 to 786 of the family's 1533-position model. The record is from RNAcentral.
UACGGAAGGCAGCAGUGGGGAAUAUUGCACAAUGGGCGAAAGCCUGAUGCAGCUAUGCCGCGUGUAUGAAGAAGGCCUUAGGGUUGUAAAGUACUUUCAUCGGGGAGGAAAACAAAACUAAUAAUUUUAUUUCUUGACGUUACCCGAAAAAGAAGCACCGGCUAACUCCGUGCCAGCAGCCGCGGUAAUACGGAGGGUGCUAGCGUUAAUCAGAAUUACUGGGCGUAAAGAGCACGUAGGUGGUUUUUUUAAGUCAGAUGUGAAAUCCCUGGGCUUAACCUAGGAACUGCAUUUUGAAACUGAAAUACUAGAGUAUCGUAGAGGGAGGUAGAAUUCUAGGUGUAGCGGUGAAAUGCGUAGAUAUCUGGAGGAAUACCUGUGGCGAAAAGCGGCCUCCUAAACGAAUACUGACACUGAGGUGCGAAAAGCGUGGGGAGCAAAACAGGGAUUAGAUACC